UGGUGGAGUGAUUUGUCUGGUUUAUUCCGAUAACGAACGAGACCUCAGCCUGCUAAAUAGCCACGGGCCGUUUUCGCAACGGGCCGGCCGUGCUUCUUAGAGGGACUAUCGGCGACUAGCCGAUGGAAGUUUGAGGCAAUAACA
This 144-nucleotide ribosomal RNA is filed under the name uncultured eukaryote. RNAcentral's name for it is "partial 18S ribosomal RNA". It matches the Rfam family "Eukaryotic small subunit ribosomal RNA", at positions 1299 to 1458 of the family's 1831-position model. The record is from RNAcentral.